RNAcentral lists this ribosomal RNA (417 nucleotides) under Acanthamoeba sp. RNAcentral describes it as "SSU rRNA". The stretch from base 1 to 350 matches the Rfam family "Eukaryotic small subunit ribosomal RNA", at positions 772 to 1115 of the family's 1831-position model. The record is from RNAcentral. Lineage: Eukaryota; Discosea; Longamoebia; Acanthamoebidae.
UGAUCCAUUUUCUGCCACCGAAUACAUUAGCAUGGGAUAAUGGAAUAGGACCCUGUCCUCCUAUUUUCAGUUGGUUUUGGCAGCGCGAGGACUAGGGUAAUGAUUAAUAGGGAUAGUUGGGGGCAUUAAUAUUUAAUUGUCAGAGGUGAAAUUCUUGGAUUUAUGAAAGAUUAACUUCUGCGAAAGCAUCUGCCAAGGAUGUUUUCAUUAAUCAAGAACGAAAGUUAGGGGAUCGAAGACGAUCAGAUACCGUCGUAGUCUUAACCAUAAACGAUGCCGACCAGCGAUUAGGAGACGUUGAAUACAAAACACCACCAUCGGCGCGGUCGUCCUUGGCGUGUCUCGGCUUCACGGCUGGGGCGCGCGAGGGCGGUUUAGCCCGGUGGCACCGGUGAAUGACUCCCUAGGCAGCGCGAG